CUACGGGGGGCACCAGUGGGGAAUAUUGCACAAUGGAGGAAACUCUGAUGCAGCAACGCCGCGUGGAGGAUGACACUUUUCGGAGCGUAAACUCCUUUUAUAUAGGAAGAUAAUGACGGUACUAUAUGAAUAAGCACCGGCUAACUCCGUGCCAGCAGCCGCGGUAAUACGGAGGGUGCAAGCGUUACUCGGAAUCACUGGGCGUAAAGAGCGUGUGGGGGGGUUAAUAAGUCAGAAGUGAAAUCCUAUGGCUCAACCAUAGAACUGCUUUUGAAACUGUUAACCUAGAGUGUGGGAGAGGUAGAUGGAAUUUCUGGUGUAGGGGUAAAAUCCGUAGAGAUCAGAAGGAAUACCGAUUGCGAAGGCGAUCUACUGGAACAUAACUGACGCUGAGACGCGAAAGCGUGGGGAGCAAACAGGAUUAGAUACCCCUGUAGUC
RNAcentral lists this ribosomal RNA (439 nucleotides) under uncultured bacterium. Its description in RNAcentral is "partial 16S ribosomal RNA". It matches the Rfam family "Bacterial small subunit ribosomal RNA", at positions 339 to 795 of the family's 1533-position model. The record is from RNAcentral.